Molecule: unclassified non-coding RNA, 372 nt
Filed under: uncultured Gammaproteobacteria bacterium
Lineage: Bacteria; Pseudomonadati; Pseudomonadota; Gammaproteobacteria
Description: contains 16S-23S intergenic spacer region
Source: RNAcentral
UCCGGAUAUCUCCGGCAGUCCCACUAAAGUGCCAAACUUAAUUGGGGCAACUAGUGGCAAGGGUUGCGCUCGUUGCGUCACUUAAGACAACAUCUCACGACACGAGCUGACGACAGCCAUGCAGCACCUGUGUCUAGGUUCCUUGCGGCACCCCGAUAUCUCUACCAGGUUCCUAGCAUGUCAAGAGCAGGUAAGGUUUUUCGCGUUGCAUCGAAUUAAUCCACAUCAUCCACCGCUUGUGCGAGUCCCCGUCAAUUCCUUUGAGUUUUAAUCUUGCGACCGUACUCCCCAGGCGGUCUACUUCUCGCGUUAGCUUCGCUACAGAACAUUGCUGCCCUACAGCAAGUAGACAUCGUUUAGGGCGUGGACUAC